RNAcentral lists this ribosomal RNA (275 nucleotides) under uncultured Staphylococcus sp. RNAcentral describes it as "partial 16S ribosomal RNA". It matches the Rfam family "Bacterial small subunit ribosomal RNA", at positions 505 to 779 of the family's 1533-position model. Lineage: Bacteria; Bacillati; Bacillota; Bacilli; Caryophanales; Staphylococcaceae. The record is from RNAcentral.
GUGCCAGCAGCCGCGGUAAUACGUAGGUGGCAAGCGUUAUCCGGAAUUAUUGGGCGUAAAGCGCGCGUAGGCGGUUUUUUAAGUCUGAUGUGAAAGCCCACGGCUCAACCGUGGAGGGUCAUUGGAAACUGGAAAACUUGAGUGCAGAAGAGGAAAGUGGAAUUCCAUGUGUAGCGGUGAAAUGCGCAGAGAUAUGGAGGAACGCCAGUGGCGAAGGCGACUUUCUGGUCUGUAACUGACGCUGAUGUGCGAAAGCGUGGGGAUCAAACAGGAUU